Molecule: ribosomal RNA, 448 nt
Filed under: uncultured bacterium
Lineage: Bacteria
Description: bacterial SSU rRNA
Rfam family: Bacterial small subunit ribosomal RNA
Source: RNAcentral
CCCAGACUCCUACGGGAGGCAGCAGUGGGGAAUAUUGGGCAAUGGGCGCAAGCCUGACCCAGCAACGCCGCGUGAAGGAAGAAGGCUUUCGGGUUGUAAACUUCUUUUAAGAGGGAAGAGUAGAAGACGGUACCUCUUGAAUAAGCCACGGCUAACUACGUGCCAGCAGCCGCGGUAAUACGUAUGGUGCGAGCGUUGUCCGGAUUUACUGGGCGUGAAGGGGGCGCAGGCGGCGCGCCAAGCCCGAUGUGAAAGCCCGGGGCUCAACCCCGGGACUGCAUUGGGAACUGGCGUGCUGGAGUGCCGGAGGGGCAGGCGGAAUUCCUGGUGUAGCGGUGAAAUGCGUAGAUAUCAGGAGGAACACCGGUGGCGAAGGCGGCCUGCUGGACGGAUGCUGACGCUGAGGCCCGAAAGCGUGGGGAGCGAACAGGAUUAGAUACCCCAGUAA